CCGUCCCGCCAAUCCGUCCC
Molecule: non-coding RNA, 20 nt
Filed under: Arabidopsis thaliana (thale cress)
Lineage: Eukaryota; Viridiplantae; Streptophyta; Magnoliopsida; Brassicales; Brassicaceae
Source: RNAcentral